Molecule: ribosomal RNA, 428 nt
Filed under: uncultured bacterium
Lineage: Bacteria
Description: partial 16S ribosomal RNA
Rfam family: Bacterial small subunit ribosomal RNA
Source: RNAcentral
GUAGGGAAUAUUGCGCAAUGGACGAAAGUCUGACGCAGCGACGCCGCGUGAGUGAUGAAGGCCUUAGGGUCGUAAAGCUCUGUUGAAUGGGAAGAAAAAAAUGACGGUACCAUUCGAGGAAGGACCGGCUAACUUCGUGCCAGCAGCCGCGGUAAUACGAGGGGUCCUAGCGUUGUUCGGAAUCAUUGGGCGUAAAGGGUGUGUAGGUGGCCAUGUAAGUCAGGUGUGAAAGCCUCGGGCUCAACCCGGGAAGUGCACUUGAUACUGCGUGGCUUGAGUACCGAAGAGGGUAGUGGAAUUCCAGGUGUAGUGGUGAAAUACGUAGAUAUCUGGAGGAACACCGGUGGCGAAGGCGGCUACCUGGUCGAGUACUGACACUGAGACACGAAAGCAUGGGGAUCAAACAGGAUUAGAAACCCUAGUAGUCC